This 423-nucleotide ribosomal RNA is filed under the name uncultured bacterium. RNAcentral's name for it is "partial 16S ribosomal RNA". It matches the Rfam family "Bacterial small subunit ribosomal RNA", at positions 360 to 774 of the family's 1533-position model. The record is from RNAcentral.
AAUCUUCCGCAAUGGACGAAAGUCUGACGGAGCAACGCCGCGAGAGUGAUGAAGGACUUCGGAACGUAAAACACUGUUGUUAGAGAAGAAUAAGUAUCGUUAGAAUAGGGCGGUACCUUGACGGUACCUAACCAGAAAGCCAUGGCUAAAUCCGUGCCACCAGCCGCGGUAAUACGUAGGUGCCAAGCGUUAUCCGGAAUUGUUUGGCGUAAAGCGCGCGCAUGCGAUUUCUUAAGUCUGAUGUCAAAGCCCACGGUUCAACCGUGGAGGGUCAUUGGAAACUGGGAAGCUUGAGUGCAGAAGAGGAGAGUGGAAUUCCAUGUGUAGCGGUAAAAUGCGUAGAGAUAUGGAGAAACACCAGUGGCAAAGGCGACUCUCUGGUCUGCAACUGACGCUGAGGCGCGAAAUCGUGGGAAGCGAACA